UACACUCCUACGGGAGGCAGCAGUGGGGAAUUUUGGACAAUGGGCGAAAGCCUGAUCCAGCAAUGCCGCGUGAGUGAAGAAGGCCUUCGGGUUGUAAAGCUCUUUUGUCAGGGAAGAAACGGUGAAAGCUAAUAUCUUUUGCUAAUGACGGUACCUGAAGAAUAAGCACCGGCUAACUACGUGCCAGCAGCCGCGGUAAUACGUAGGGUGCAAGCGUUAAUCGGAAUUACUGGGCGUAAAGCGUGCGCAGGCGGUUUUGUAAGUCUGAUGUGAAAUCCCCGGGCUCAACCUGGGAAUUGCAUUGGAGACUGCAAGGCUAGAAUCUGGCAGAGGGGUGUAGAAUUCCACGUGUAGCAGUGAAAUGCGUAGAUAUGUGGAGGAACACCGAUGGCGAAGGCAGCCCCCUGGGUCAAGAUUGACGCUCAUGCACGAAAGCGUGGGGAGCAAACAGGAUUAGAUACCCCAGUAGUCCCAUGAU
Molecule: ribosomal RNA, 478 nt
Filed under: uncultured organism
Description: partial 16S ribosomal RNA
Rfam family: Bacterial small subunit ribosomal RNA
Source: RNAcentral